CAAGGCAUUUAAGUGCAUCUGUGAAUGCCCACACUGGAAUCUGUCCCACGAACUUCAGCUCUGCUUCACACUGACGAGUCCUACAAUUCUUUUCUGUGUGUAAGUCCAGAUCCCAGCUGCACCUGAGCAGUCAUCUCCAGGGGGAGCUUCUCAGGUUCCACAAUGCACAGGGCUAAAUUGUCUCCUGCUUCCACAGCAGCACCCAAGUAGCCAUCUCUAGAAGGAACCUCUCAGGUUUCACAAUACACAAGGUUAAAUUGUGACUUGUGGCCAAGGACACUUCCAUACCUACCUCCCCCGCAGGCUUCUAACUCUAACAGGCAGCACCAAGCCAGUCUCUGCCCAGCCCAAGACUCAGGAGCAGUUUCCAGAGCAACAGCAUACUGCAGGUUGGUAAGCUGAGGUGUAGUCAGGCGCUCAAGGACAUGUUGACAGGUCUCUUGCUGGGGUGAGGACGCCACACCAGCCCCUUGCAGCAAAUCGCAUUCGUAUCUUGCUCUCUUCUGGACUUUUGCUUCUAAGAUGGCAAAAAGUGUGAGUCAAUGAGACUGCAACCCAGCCAAAAGCACUGUCCCCAGCAGCCCAGAAGAGGUGGCGGUUGCAGAGAAGGCCAUAGAGGAUGAGGACUUAGAGUGGCUGGUCA
RNAcentral lists this long non-coding RNA (643 nucleotides) under Cricetulus griseus (Chinese hamster). Its description in RNAcentral is "lncRNA (ENSCGRG00015029581.1)". The record is from RNAcentral. Lineage: Eukaryota; Metazoa; Chordata; Mammalia; Rodentia; Cricetidae.